GUCCACGCCGUAAACGAUGGGUGCUAGGUGUCGCGGGCUUUGACCCCUGCGGUGCCGUAGCUAACGCAUUAAGCACCCCGCCUGGGGAGUACGGCCGCAAGGCUAAAACUCAAAGGAAUUGACGGGGGCCCGCACAAGCGGUGGAGCAUGUGGUUCAAUUCGACGCAACGCGCAGAACCUUACCUGGGCUAGAAAAUGCAGGAACCUGGUCGAAAGGUCGGGGUGCUCUUCGGAGAACCUGUAGUUAGGUGCUGCAUGGCUGUCGU
RNAcentral lists this ribosomal RNA (266 nucleotides) under uncultured bacterium. Its description in RNAcentral is "partial 16S ribosomal RNA". It matches the Rfam family "Bacterial small subunit ribosomal RNA", at positions 793 to 1055 of the family's 1533-position model. The record is from RNAcentral.